AGAGCUUGGUUGCUCUAUCAUUUUCUAAUGCUGCUGAUGGGAAGAUAUUUUCUAUUGUGAGAGGCUUGUUUUCCUGCUCCAUAGGAACAAUGAUCCAUAAGGAUUUCCUGAGGAAUGACUUCUCCUAAGACCUUCAGUGACAACUCCUCUCUGAUGGCUGCAGACUGUAAUGCUUCACUGCAAGCACAGCUGGCUGUUUGGGGUGGCUGACAUGCAGAGCUGCACCUGCUAGAAGAGAUGCUAAGAAAAGAGAUGUGUUCUGGGAGAUACAAAGGCAUUGUCUGACCGAUUGUGUGGGCAAAAGAGUUUUUUAAGACCAUCCUGUGUGACCUCCUGCAUUGACCAUCUGCUGGCUCCUGGUUGGGUGACAGAAAGCCUUUCAAGAUGCUACCAAACGUAUAUAAAUUACUCUGAUUUGAUGGUCUACAGCCUUGCCUUGGUUGGCUGUUCUGAGAGCCUCCUUCCAAGAUUUCCUGUUGCCUCCAUUUAAGAGCAGUUCUGUCUUUUCUUCAAUGAGUGGAGGUUAGUAAGACCCAGCAGAUGCUGCUGCCUGAGUUCAGUCAGCAGAGGAACACUGUGAUUCCUUCCAGCUUCUUUGCUUGUACAUCAAGAGGAAGGAGGAUGCUAACUUUAACUUCUCCCCAUUGUGCCCCAGAGAUUAGGCACCUUGCCAUAUACAUAUGUUAUCAAAAA
Serinus canaria (Common canary) is the source of this 693-nucleotide long non-coding RNA. RefSeq lists it as uncharacterized. Lineage: Eukaryota; Metazoa; Chordata; Aves; Passeriformes; Fringillidae. The record is from RefSeq and is a predicted model, not a curated record. The transcript is spliced from 3 exons.